CUAAGGUAACGGCGAGUGAAGCGGGAAGAGCUCAAAUUUGUAAUCUGGCGGCCUCUGGCUGUCCGAGUUGUAGUCUGGAGAAGUGUUUUCUGUGCCGGACCGUGUACAAGUCCCUUGGAACAGGGCGUCAUAGAGGGUGAGAAUCCCGUCUCUGACACGGACUCCCGGUGCUUUGUGAUGCGCUCUCGAAGAGUCGAGUUGUUUGGGAAUGCAGCUCAAAAUGGGUGGUAAAUUCCAUCUAAAGCUAAAUAUUGGCGAAAGACCGAUAGCGAACAAGUACCGUGAGGGAAAGAUGAAAAGCACUUUGGAAAGAGAGUUAAACAGUACGUGAAAUUGUUGAAAGGGAAACGCUUGAAGUCAGUCGCGUCUGGUGGGACUCAGCCUUACUUCUGUAUGGUGCAUUUCCUAUUUGACGGGCCAGCAUCGAUUUCGAUCACUGGAGAAAGGUGGGGGGAACGUGGCACCCUCGGGUGUGUUAUAGCCCUCUAUCGUAUGCAGUGAUUGGGAUCGAGGAUCGCAGCACGCCUUAACGGUCGGGGUUCGCCCACGUAACGUGCUUAGGAUGCUGGCGUAAUGGCUUUAAGCGACCCGUCUUGAAACACGGACCAAGGAGUCUAACAUGCCUGCGAGUGUUUGGGUGUCAAACCCGGACGCGAAAUGAAAGUGAACAGUUGGGACCUCUGUCGUGGAGGGCACCGACGCCCGGACCAGACCUUCUGUGACGGUUCCGAGGUAGAGCAUGUAUGUUGGGACCCGAAAGAUGGUGAACUAUGCCUGAGUAGGGUGAAGCCAGA
This 794-nucleotide ribosomal RNA is filed under the name Clavariadelphus sp. RNAcentral's name for it is "partial large subunit ribosomal RNA". It matches the Rfam family "Eukaryotic large subunit ribosomal RNA", at positions 78 to 856 of the family's 3401-position model. The record is from RNAcentral. Lineage: Eukaryota; Fungi; Basidiomycota; Agaricomycetes; Gomphales; Clavariadelphaceae.